RNAcentral lists this transfer RNA (74 nucleotides) under Fidelibacterota bacterium. RNAcentral's name for it is "tRNA-Ile". It matches the Rfam family "tRNA". Rfam says of the family: Transfer RNA (tRNA) molecules are approximately 80 nucleotides in length. Lineage: Bacteria; Pseudomonadati; Fidelibacterota. The record is from RNAcentral.
GGGCCUGUAGCUCAGGCGGUUAGAGCGCACGCCUGAUAAGCGUGAGGUCGGAAGUUCGAGUCUUCCCAGGCCCA